AGUGAACGCUGGCGGCAUGCCUAAUACAUGCAAGUCGAACGACAGCACAGGAAGAUCUCGCCUCUACGGGUGGCGAGUGGCGGGCGGGUGAGGAAUAGAUAGGCAUCCACUUUUACGGGGGUGAUAACGGAGGGCAAGAUAUACUAAUAGAUCAUAUAACCAACGGCAUGAAGCAAUAGAGCAUCGGGCCUUUGCCGUCUCAUUUAGCUGGAUCCGGACCAGCUUGGCUGGUUGGUAAGGUAACGGCUCACCAAGGCAACGAUGCGUGGCCGGUCUGAGAGGGUGAUCCGCCACACUGGAACUGAGACACGGUCCAGACUCCUACGGGAGGCAGCAGUAGGGAAUCUUGCACAAUGGGCGAAAGCCUGAUCCAGCCAUACCGCGUGGGUGAAGAAGGUCUUCGGAUUGUAAAGCCCUUUUAUUGGGAAAGAAAAACAGCGGGUUAAUCCCCCGCUGUUCUGACGGUACCCAAAGAAUAAGCCCCGGCUAACUUCGUG
RNAcentral lists this ribosomal RNA (497 nucleotides) under uncultured bacterium. RNAcentral describes it as "partial 16S ribosomal RNA". It matches the Rfam family "Bacterial small subunit ribosomal RNA", at positions 29 to 507 of the family's 1533-position model. The record is from RNAcentral.